GCCCCAUUAUCAGCAAUUAAACUCAUAGGAUACCCAGCUUCCUUAGAACAAAUCUGGGAUAUGCUUCAAGCCGUAAGGGAGCAGCUUAGAGAAGACCUCAGAGAAGAUUUAGCUGCACUGGAAAAUAAAACUGAUGCUUUGAAUGUUACAUUGAUAAAACAAGCAGCAGACCACAAAAACCUGGCUGAUCAUGUACAAGCUUUGGAAACACAAUUUAAAUCUG
This is a non-coding RNA of Pelobates cultripes (western spadefoot toad), 223 nucleotides long. NCBI's taxonomy places the organism in Eukaryota, Metazoa, Chordata, Amphibia, Anura, Pelobatidae. The record is from the annotation of a GenBank genome assembly.